Molecule: ribosomal RNA, 492 nt
Filed under: uncultured bacterium
Lineage: Bacteria
Description: partial 16S ribosomal RNA
Rfam family: Bacterial small subunit ribosomal RNA
Source: RNAcentral
GAUGAACGCUAGCUACAGGCUUAACACAUGCAAGUCGAGGGGAAACGACAUCGUAAGCUUGCUUUUGAUGGGCGUCGACCGGCGCACGGGUGAGUAACGCGUAUCCAACCUGCCCAUCACUUGGGAAUAACCUUGCGAAAGUAAGACUAAUACCCAAUGAUAUCCCACGAAGGCAUCGGAAUGGGAGUAAAGAUUUAUCGGUGAUGGAUGGGGAUGCGUCUGAUUAGCUUGUUGGCGGGGUAACGGCCCACCAAGGCAACGAUCAGUAGGGGUUCUGAGAGGAAGGUCCCCCACAUUGGAACUGAGACACGGUCCAAACUCCUACGGGAGGCAGCAGUGAGGAAUAUUGGUCAAGGGGCGAGAGCCUGAACCAGCCAAGUAGCGUGCAGGAAGCCGGCCCUAUGGGUUGUAAACUGCUUUUAUAAGGGAAUAAAGUGGGUCACGCGUGACUUUUUGCAUGUACCUUAUGAAUAAGGACCGGCUAAUUCCGUG